CCUACGGGAGGCAGCAGUCGGGAAUAUUGCGCAAUGGAGGAAACUCUGAAGCAGUGACGCCGCGUGCAGGAAGACGGUUUUCGGAUUGUAAACUGCUUUAGACAGGGAAGAAACAAGACAGUACCUGUAAGAUAAGCGCCGGCUAACUACGUGCCAGCAGCCGCGGUACUACGUAGGGAGCAAGCGUUAUCCGGAUUUACUGGGUGGAAAGGGUGCGUAGACGGGAAGUCACGUUAGCUGUGAAAUCCCUGGGCUGAACUGGGGAACUGCAACCAAAACUAGCUGUGUUGAGUGCUGUAGAGGAAAGUGGAAUUCCGAGUGUAGCGGUGAAAUGCGUAGAUAUUAGGAGGAACACCAGUGGCGAAGGCGACUUUCUGGACAGUAACUGACGUUGAGGCACGAAAGUGUGGGGAGCAAACAGGAUUAGAUACCCUAGUAGUC
This 441-nucleotide ribosomal RNA is filed under the name uncultured bacterium. RNAcentral describes it as "partial 16S ribosomal RNA". It matches the Rfam family "Bacterial small subunit ribosomal RNA", at positions 338 to 795 of the family's 1533-position model. The record is from RNAcentral.